AGAGUUUGAUCCUGGCUCAGGACGAACGCUGGCGGCGUGCUUAACACAUGCAAGUCGAACGAUGAACCACUUCGGUGGGGAUUAGUGGCGAACGGGUGAGUAACACGUGGGCAAUCUGCCCUGCACUCUGGGACAAGCCCUGGAAACGGGGUCUAAUACCGGAUACUGAACCUUGCAGGCAUCUGUGAGGGUCGAAAGCUCCGGCGGUGCAGGAUGAGCCCGCGGCCUAUCAGCUAGUUGGUGAGGUAAUGGCUCACCAAGGCGACGACGGGUAGCCGGCCUGAGAGGGCGACCGGCCACACUGGGACUGAGACACGGCCCAGACUCCUACGGGAGGCAGCAGUGGGGAAUAUUGCACAAUGGGCGAAAGCCUGAUGCAGCGACGCCGCGUGAGGGAUGACGGCCUUCGGGUUGUAAACCUCUUUCAGCAGGGAAGAAGCGAAAGUGACGGUACCUGCAGAAGAAGCGCCGGCUAACUACGUGCCAGCAGCCGCGGUAAUACGUAGGGCGCAAGCGUUGUCCGGAAUUAUUGGGCGUAAAGAGCUCGUAGGCGGCUUGUCGCGUCGGUUGUGAAAGCCCGGGGCUUAACCCCGGGUCUGCAGUCGAUACGGGCAGGCUAGAGUUCGGUAGGGGAGAUCGGAAUUCCUGGUGUAGCGGUGAAAUGCGCAGAUAUCAGGAGGAACACCGGUGGCGAAGGCGGAUCUCUGGGCCGAUACUGACGCUGAGGAGCGAAAGCGUGGGGAGCGAACAGGAUUAGAUACCCUGGUAGUCCACGCCGUAAACGGUGGGCACUAGGUGUGGGCAACAUUCCACGUUGUCCGUGCCGCAGCUAACGCAUUAAGUGCCCCGCCUGGGGAGUACGGCCGCAAGGCUAA
RNAcentral lists this ribosomal RNA (875 nucleotides) under Streptomyces sp. CNR879 PL04. Its description in RNAcentral is "bacterial SSU rRNA". It matches the Rfam family "Bacterial small subunit ribosomal RNA", at positions 8 to 897 of the family's 1533-position model. The record is from RNAcentral. Lineage: Bacteria; Bacillati; Actinomycetota; Actinomycetes; Kitasatosporales; Streptomycetaceae.